GCAAGAUUAAAACUCAAAGGAAUUGACGGGGACCCGCACAAGCGGUGGAUGAUGUGGAUUAAUUCGAUGCAACGCGAAAAACCUUACCUACCCUUGACAUGGCUGGAAUCCUCGAGAGAUUGAGGAGUGCUCGAAAGAGAACCAGUACACAGGUGCUGCAUGGCUGUCGUCAGCUCGUGUCGUGAGAUGUUGGGUUAAGUCCCGCAACGAGCGCAACCCUUGU
RNAcentral lists this ribosomal RNA (223 nucleotides) under Janthinobacterium sp. NKUCC08_JDC. RNAcentral describes it as "partial 16S ribosomal RNA". It matches the Rfam family "Bacterial small subunit ribosomal RNA", at positions 888 to 1108 of the family's 1533-position model. The record is from RNAcentral. Lineage: Bacteria; Pseudomonadati; Pseudomonadota; Betaproteobacteria; Burkholderiales; Oxalobacteraceae.